RNAcentral lists this ribosomal RNA (255 nucleotides) under uncultured bacterium. RNAcentral describes it as "partial 16S ribosomal RNA". It matches the Rfam family "Bacterial small subunit ribosomal RNA", at positions 524 to 776 of the family's 1533-position model. The record is from RNAcentral.
UACGUAGGGCGCAAGCGUUAUCCGGAAUUGAUUGGGCGUAAAGAGCUCGUGAGCGGUUUGUCGCGUCUGCCGUGAAAGUCCGGGGCUCAACUCCGGAUCUGCGGUGGGUACGGGCAGACUAGAGUGAUGUAGGGGGAGACUGGAAUUCCUGGUGUAGCGGUGAAAUGCGCAGAUAUCAGGAGGAACACCGAUGGCGAAGGCAGGUCUCUGGGCAUUAACUGACGCUGAGGAGCGAAAGCAUGGGGGGCGAACAGG